This 345-nucleotide ribosomal RNA is filed under the name Triticum aestivum (bread wheat). RNAcentral describes it as "partial small subunit ribosomal RNA". The record is from RNAcentral. Lineage: Eukaryota; Viridiplantae; Streptophyta; Magnoliopsida; Poales; Poaceae.
AUGUUGCAUUAUGACAAUCCUGACUGUAACCCGGCAUUUGUACAGGCCGCCAUGAGUCAAUUUGAAUCGGAGAUUUCUGACUUGAAGAAUCGCCUGGAAGCACAAGAGAUUGAAACCCAAAAAGCCAACUCCAAGUUUGAAUUCAGUGUAUCUGAACAAGAGAAACUGAAAAAAGACUUUGAAGUAGAAAAGAAAGCCUGGGCUAAUGAAAAAACCGCCUUGAUCAACCGGGCUGAGAAGGCUGAGACGGCUCUUGCAGAAACAACCGCCGAACUAUCCGGCUUAAAAUGCCAUGUAUCUCAGAUGGUCUCAACAAUCUUUGGUAAGUUAUUCUGCAAGUGUUAA